UAAAGAAUUUCGGUUAUCGAUGGGGAUGCGUUCCAUUAGUUAGUUGGCGGGGUAACGGCCCACCAAGACGACGAUGGAUAGGGGUUCUGAGAGGAAGGUCCCCCACAUUGGAACUGAGACACGGUCCAAACUCCUACGGGAGGCAGCAGUGAGGAAUAUUGGUCAAUGGACGAGAGUCUGAACCAGCCAAGUAGCGUGAAGGAUGACUGCCCUAUGGGUUGUAAACUUCUUUUAUAUGGGAAUAAAACAGGGUAUGCAUACCCUCUUGUAUGUACCAUAUGAAUAAGGAUCGGCUAACUCCGUGCCAGCAGCCGCGGUAAUACGGAGGAUCCGAGCGUUAUCCGGAUUUAUUGGGUUUAAAGGGAGCGUAGGUGGAUUGUUAAGUCAGUUGUGAAAGUUUGCGGCUCAACCGUAAAAUUGCAGUUGAAACUGGCAGUCUUGAGUACAGUAGAGGUGGGCGGAAUUCGUGGUGUAGCGGUGAAGUGCUUAGAUAUCACGAAGAACUCCGAUUGCGAAGGCAGCUCACUAGACUGCAACUGACACUGAUGCUCGAAAGUGUGGGUAUCAAACAGGAUUAGAUACCCUGGUAGUCCACACAGUAAACGAUGAAUACUCGCUGUUUGCGAUAUACAGUAA
RNAcentral lists this ribosomal RNA (636 nucleotides) under uncultured bacterium. RNAcentral describes it as "bacterial SSU rRNA". It matches the Rfam family "Bacterial small subunit ribosomal RNA", at positions 202 to 842 of the family's 1533-position model. The record is from RNAcentral.